UGGUGGUAGUAGUAUUAGUAUUAGUAGUAGUUGUUGUUAUUGUUGUUGUUGUGGUAGUAGUAGUAGUGGUGCUGGUGGUGAUAGUAGUAGUAGUAGUGGUGGUGGUGGUGGUGGUGGUGGUGAUGGUGGUGGUGGUGGUGGAGGUUAACCAGCAGACAGUAUUUAACCAUGGUAUAUUAAUCAGUAAAUAUUUAAGACAACACUAUUGACAAGUAUUGUGUAAUGUGAGGUAACGGCACGGAUAACCACACUCACUGGCGAGGUCGGGGUCAAUGGACUGCUGUGAACGAUUUAUGUAUUACUAUUCAUUAAGCAGCUCGUUUUGUUGUAGUAGUAGUAGUAGUAGUAGUAGUAGUAGUAGUAGUAGUAGUAGUAGUAGUAGUAGUAGUAGUAACUGUCCCCCUCUUCUACACUGAAUAUCAUCAGUCUGUCCUUUACUUAUAAUCUAAACUGCAAACUUCACAUCUCAUCUCUAGCUAAAACAGCUUCUAUGGUGUUAGGUGUUCUGAGACGUUUCCGCCAGUUUUUUUUUUUUUUUUUUUUUUUACCUCCCCCCAGCUGCUAACUCUGUACAGGGGCCUUAUCCGUCCAUGUAUGGAAUAUGCUUCACAUGUCUGGGGGGGUUCCACUCAUACUGCUCUUCUAGACAGGGUGGAAUCAAAAGCUUUUCGUCUCAUCAACUCCUCUCCUCUAACUGACUGUCUUCAGCCUCUCUCUCAUCGCCGCAGUGUUGCAUCUCUAGCUGUCUUCUACCGCUAUUUUCAUGCUAACUGCUCUUCUGAUCUUGCUAACUGCAUGCCUCCUCUCCUCCCGCGGCCUCGCUGCACAACACUUUCUUCUUUCUCUCACCACUAUUCUGUCCACCUCCCUAAUGCAAGAGUUAACCAGUAUUCUCAGUCUUUCACCACUAUUCUGUCCACCUCCCCAAUGCAAGAGUUAACCAGUAUUCUCAGUCAUUCAUCCCUUUCUGUGGUAAACUCUGGAACUCCCUGCCUGCUUCUGUAUUUCCUCCUACCUGUGACUUAAACUCUUUUCAAGUAGUAGUAAUGAAAAUAAUGUGAUUUAACUCUCUCUCUCUCUCUCUCUCUCUCUCUCUCUCUCUCUCUCUCUCUCUCUCUCUCUCUCUCAGAUCAUGCCAGGUCACAGGUCAGACUUCCCUCACGCGCAGGUCAAGUAUAGGUCAAUGCCCCACCCCCCUGCCCCUUCCCGGCCCCCCCCUUCCUCUACUUCGACCACAGGGGGGUAGUGGAGGAGGGGGAGGUGUUUCAAUAUGGCCGCCGCGUCGCAUCACAUCCUCAAGACCUCAGCAAGAAAAAACCCGAAUUUCUGGUCAAAUCUCCGGAAAUUCAGAAAAGGUCACCAGAAUUUCUAGUCAAGUCACCCGAAAUUCUGAAGAAGGAUUCCGAAAUUCUGAGAUCUCCAGAUUUUCUGACAAAAACGCGGGAAAUUCUGGACGUGUCUCCAGAAUUUAGGACAGGAAAGCCAGAUAUACGGACCAAAUCUCCAGAAUUUCUGAAAAAAACUCCGGAAAAUUUUCAAAUGUCAUCACAGUAUUCUGAUUAUUCUGUUUAUUCCAUUUACCCUCCUCCCGCUCCUCCUCCUCCUCCUCCUCCUCCUAGAGAGAGAGAAUGGAUGAGGAAUGAGGAGGAAGAAGAGGAGGAUGACCGGCCUCUAGUAAUUGAUAUGGGAGAGGAAGAAGAGGAGGAGAAGGAAGAAGAGGAAAGACAAGAGGAGGAAGAAGAGCAAGCGAUGGAUCUCAGGAUAAACAGAGAUCCCCGCGGGCCGAACCCCUCACAACCCCCCCAAACUCUCCCCCCCCCAGCACCUUACCUAGGCAAGAUUUCAUCGAGAAGAAAAAGAGAUCGAGGGCCUAAGUCAUGGGAGUUUUUGAUGCGGUUGUUAGCAGACCCGAGAACCAACCCAGAUGUCAUAAGAUGGGAGGACAGGUCACGAUACACAUUUCGCCUCGUCCAGCCCCAGGUCAUCGCCUCUCUCUGGGGUCAAAGGUCAAACAAGCGAACUCUCACCUAUAAUAACUUCGCUAGAGCUCUGAGGUACCACUACCACACCAAGUAUCUCAUCCGAGUGUCUGAGCGUCAGCUGGUGUAUGGGUGUGGACAACCCGCCAUACAGUUUCUCAAUACAAUCCUGCACCAGCACUGAGAGAGAGAGAGAGAGAGAGAGAGAGAGAGAGAGAGAGAGAGAGAGAGAGAGAGAGAGAGAGAGAGAGAGAGAGAGAGAGAGAGAGAGAGAGAAUUUACUUUAUUUUCUGUAGAUUUCAAAUAACUUUCAUUGUCAUUAUUAUUGCUAUCAUUAUUAUUACUAUUAUUAUUAUUAUUGUUAUUAUUAUUAUUAUUAUUAUUUUUAUUAUUAUUAAAGUGUUUUUGUAAAGAA
Scylla paramamosain (green mud crab) is the source of this 2394-nucleotide long non-coding RNA. RefSeq lists it as uncharacterized. The record is from RefSeq and is a predicted model, not a curated record. The transcript has 5 exons. Lineage: Eukaryota; Metazoa; Arthropoda; Malacostraca; Decapoda; Portunidae.